Molecule: long non-coding RNA, 537 nt
Filed under: Ananas comosus (pineapple)
Lineage: Eukaryota; Viridiplantae; Streptophyta; Magnoliopsida; Poales; Bromeliaceae
Description: long non-coding RNA (ACOM_LNC003714)
Source: RNAcentral
UAAAAUUUUCCCGACGCUAUACUAUAGGAAAUACCUUAUUUAACGAAAGGAAGUACCGUCGUUGAUAACCUAUAUUUCCGUCGUUAAAGGUCAAUAACGACGGCAAUUCCAUCCGUCGUGACCCGUCAUAAAAGCGUCCUUCAUUAAAAAUAGUGACGACCAAAAUGAACUGCUAGUCGUUAUAUACUAUUAACGACCAUAUUAUUUACCGUCGUUAUUUAGUUACAUUAGUAAUCACACUGUUUUACAAUAACGACCAGUUAUACCAUCGUAAUAGAUAUUAUAAAAACUAUAAUUAUCCUAUCCAUAGUGUUAAUAACGACUAAACAUUUCAUCGCUAGUAUUAUUAUUGACCAUAUUUUCCGUCGUUAAAAGCAUUUCAUAAGUAGAAGAAGAUAACAAAACAACGACCAUUCUUCCCGUCGUUAAUGGCCAAAUAUUGAAUUUGGAUAUUUUAUUUUUGGCCAUUUAUUUAAUCGCAAAUAAUUUAUAUAAACAAUGAUACAUAUACAUAUACAUAUACAUAUGUAUAUGCAU